This 407-nucleotide ribosomal RNA is filed under the name Verrucomicrobiota bacterium. RNAcentral's name for it is "Verrucomicrobia bacterium partial 16S ribosomal RNA". It matches the Rfam family "Bacterial small subunit ribosomal RNA", at positions 355 to 776 of the family's 1533-position model. Lineage: Bacteria; Pseudomonadati; Verrucomicrobiota. The record is from RNAcentral.
UGGGGAAUAUUGGGCAAUGGGCGAAAGCCUGACCCAGCAACGCCGCGUGAAGUAUGAAGGCCUUCGGGUUGUAAACUUCUUUGAUCAGGGAAGAAACAAAUGACGGUACCUGAAAAACAAGCCACGGCUAACUACGUGCCAGCAGCCGCGGUAAUACGUAGGUGGCGAGCGUUAUCCGGAUUUACUGGGUGUAAAGGGCGUGCAGGCGGGCUGAUAAGUCAGAUGUGAAAUCCCCGAGCUUAACUCGGGAACUGCAUCUGAUACUGUUGGUCUUGAGUGCUGGAGAGGAUAGUGGAAUUCCUAGUGUAGCGGUAAAAUGCGCAGAUAUUAGGAGGAACACCAGUGGCGAAGGCGGCUUUCUGGACUGCAACUGACACUGAGGCACGAAAGCGUGGGUAGCAAACAGG